GUCGAGCGAGCUUGCCUAGAUGAUUUUAGUGCUUGCACUAAAUGAAACUAGAUACAAGCGAGCGGCGGACGGGUGAGUAACACGUGGGUAACCUGCCCAAGAGACUGGGAUAACACCUGGAAACAGAUGCUAAUACCGGAUAACAACACUAGACGCAUGUCUAGAGUUUGAAAGAUGGUUCUGCUAUCACUCUUGGAUGGACCUGCGGUGCAUUAGCUAGUUGGUAAGGUAACGGCUUACCAAGGCAAUGAUGCAUAGCCGAGUUGAGAGACUGAUCGGCCACAUUGGGACUGAGACACGGCCCAAACUCCUACGGGAGGCAGCAGUAGGGAAUCUUCCACAAUGGACGAAAGUCUGAUGGAGCAACGCCGCGUGAGUGAAGAAGGGUUUCGGCUCGUAAAGCUCUGUUGGUAGUGAAGAAAGAUAGAGGUAGUAACUGGCCUUUAUUUGACGGUAAUUACUUAGAAAGUCACGGCUAACUACGUGCCAGCAGCCGCGGUAAUACGUAGGUGGCAAGCGUUGUCCGGAUUUAUUGGGCGUAAAGCGAGUGCAGGCGGUUCAAUAAGUCUGAUGUGAAAGCCUUCGGCUCAACCGGAGAAUUGCAUCAGAAACUGUUGAACUUGAGUGCAGAAGAGGAGAGUGGAACUCCAUGUGUA
Molecule: ribosomal RNA, 656 nt
Filed under: Lactobacillus johnsonii
Lineage: Bacteria; Bacillati; Bacillota; Bacilli; Lactobacillales; Lactobacillaceae
Description: bacterial SSU rRNA
Rfam family: Bacterial small subunit ribosomal RNA
Source: RNAcentral